CUACGGGAUGCUGCAGUGGGGAAUAUUGCGCAAUGGGCGAAAGCCUGACGCAGCAACGCCGCGUGAGGGAUGACGGCCUUCGGGUUGUAAACCUCUUUCAGCAGGGAAGAAGCGAAAGUGACGGUACCUGCAGAAGAAGCACCGGCUAACUACGUGCCAGCAGCCGCGGUAAUACGUAGGGUGCAAGCGUUGUCCGGAUUUAUUGGGCGUAAAGAGCUCGUAGGCGGUUAGUCACGUCGGAUGUGAAAUCCCAAGGCUUAACCUUGGGCCUGCAUUCGAUACGGGCUGACUAGAGUGUUGUAGGGGAGACUGGAACUCCUGGUGUAGCGGUGAAAUGCGCAGAUAUCAGGAAGAACACCGGUGGCGAAGGCGGGUCUCUGGGCAACUACUGACGCUGAGGAGCGAAAGCGUGGGGAGCAAACAGGAUUAGAUACCCUGGUAGUC
Molecule: ribosomal RNA, 444 nt
Filed under: uncultured bacterium
Lineage: Bacteria
Description: partial 16S ribosomal RNA
Rfam family: Bacterial small subunit ribosomal RNA
Source: RNAcentral